GAUGAACGCUAGCGACAGGCUUAACACAUGCAAGUCGAGGGGCAGCAUAAAAGUAGCAAUACUUUGGUGGCGACCGGCGCACGGGUGAGUAACGCGUAUGCACCUACCUAUCAGAGGGGAAUAACCCGGCGAAAGUCGGACUAAUACCGCAUAAAACAGGGGCACCGCAUGGUGAUAUUUGUUAAAGAGAUUCGCUGAUAGAUGGGCAUGCGUUCCAUUAGGUAGUUGGUGAGGUAACGGCUCACCAAGCCGACGAUGGAUAGGGGAACUGAGAGGUUGGUCCCCCACACUGGUACUGAGACACGGACCAGACUCCGACGGGAGGCAGCAGUGAGGAAUAUUGGUCAAUGGGCGAGAGCCUGAACCAGCCAAGUCGCGUGAAGGAAGAGGGAUCUAUGGUUCGUAAACUUCUUUUGCAGGGGAAUAAAGUGCAGGACGUGUCCUGUUUUGUAUGUACCCUGAGAAUAAGGAUCGGCUAACUCUGUGCCAGCCGCCGCCGUAA
Molecule: ribosomal RNA, 502 nt
Filed under: uncultured bacterium
Lineage: Bacteria
Description: partial 16S ribosomal RNA
Rfam family: Bacterial small subunit ribosomal RNA
Source: RNAcentral